AUGAACGCUAGCUACAGGCUUAACACAUGCAAGUCGCGGGGCAGCAUGGGGGUUGCUUGCAAUCCCCGAUGGCGACCGGCGCACGGGUGAGUAACGCGUAUCCAACCUGCCCUUCACCACGGGAUAACCCGGCGAAAGUCGGACUAAUACCGUAUGUUGUCCAUUGACGGCAUCCGAUUUGGACGAAAGGCUUGGCGGUGAGGGAUGGGGAUGCGUCCGAUUAGCCAGACGGCGGGGUAACGGCCCACCGUGGCUACGAUCGGUAGGGGUUCUGAGAGGAAGGUCCCCCACACUGGAACUGAGACACGGUCCAGACUCCUACGGGAGGCAGCAGUGAGGAAUAUUGGUCAAUGGGCGUAAGCCUGAACCAGCCAAGUAGCGUGCAGGAUGACGGCCCUAUGGGUUGUAAACUGCUUUUAUGCGGGGAUAAAGUGGCCCACGUGUGGGCUUUUGCAGGUACCGCAUGAAUAAGAACCGGCUAAUUCCGUG
Molecule: ribosomal RNA, 489 nt
Filed under: uncultured bacterium
Lineage: Bacteria
Description: partial 16S ribosomal RNA
Rfam family: Bacterial small subunit ribosomal RNA
Source: RNAcentral